UGCUGCUGCUCAGUCGUCGAUCUUCACAGGAAGUGAAUCUGAGGUCCCAGGAGCAAGGGACUGAGAGGAAAUCCAUAUGGAGGCUUCCUCACCUCUUGUUACUUUCUCCCACUGGUUGAGAUUGUCCCUGGAGAUGCAAAAAAAGUCAGAGAUGAAUCAACUCCUAAAGAAGUCAGCAGGGGCCAGGUCUGUAGCGAUGAUGGCUUUCCGGAUGAUCUCAAGUACUUGCUCAUAUUCGCUGGAGCUCAGAUUGGAGAAGACAUUGUGCCCUUCCAGCUAUGAAAAAGUAAAAAACCAAUAAAAAGCACAAGCUCUAAUUCUGAGAUGAUUUCAGUCUUUACUUCACCAGACAGGUUACAACAGUUGAACAGCGCAAAGACAAAUCUUUACUGCAAGUUCAAAUGCUGAGAGGCCUGAAAUUCCCAUUUUUAUCACUCCAUUCAAAAUGACAUCCUGCGACUAAGCCACUGAUUUGGUUUUGGG
Long non-coding RNA from Pogoniulus pusillus (Red-fronted tinkerbird), 483 nucleotides. RefSeq lists it as uncharacterized. Lineage: Eukaryota; Metazoa; Chordata; Aves; Piciformes; Lybiidae. The transcript has 3 exons. The record is from RefSeq and is a predicted model, not a curated record.